CAGGAUCACACCAGAGCUCCUUCACCAUCCUACCACGGCUCCCUGGAGCAGCUCAGUGCACCUGGGACCUGGGACACUCUACCCUGAUUAACUUAAUGCCCACUGAUUAGCAAGUUGGUUGCCAGUGUCCCAGCCCAUGACUCCCGCGGUGGAGAGGGAGUGUUAAAAGGUAUACAUCGCUGUGCACAAAGAUCUCUGGGCCCUACCUGCCAUAGUGUGUUUUUUGAUCCCAGACAAAUACCUCUGUCUCCCUCCCAUGAUUCCCAAGAGUCUCAUCCUACUGCCACAUCAUUUCCGUGUCCAAGAUCACUGUGCAAGAUGCCAUCAUGUAAACCACAGUCAUCACAGCUUCUCCCCAGCCGUGUGCAGUGGGAGUUGGGACUCUGGGGCACUACCCUAGCAGGCCUGUUACUAUGAGCAUGUAGCUAGGGCUUUAAAAAUGAAGUCAUUUUUGCCUGUGAUGUUCACAUCUUGGAAUAUUAGAUAAUUCCUGUUGUGCUGGGGCAGCCAAACAAACACCCAUCAUCUUCAUCUUCACAGGAUUACAUUUCCUGCUCCCUGCUCGCAGAGCUGUUCCUGAGAGUUGGAAUGGCACCGGCCCCAGCCUUGUCCAGACUCUCUGGGAGUGACCAAGCUGGUAGUGUGUGCUCCAAUCCAAGAUGAGGCUGCUGGAACUCCUGGGUCCCGAUGGAAAGUCCUGCCCUCCUCCCAGCACACAAGAGAAGGCCCGACUUUGCAGGUGUUUGGAAAUUGGGGUUAGGGUUAACUCUUUCCUCGCAUCAGUUUACACCUGCCUCCACCCAGAGGCGCACUGGACCUUGGUGGAAAACAAACAUUCAAGUAAGGCCACACAUGCAAGAAGAGCAGUGGCUUUGGAGUCUCACCCUUUCAGAGUCCGUACUUCAACUGUUUCCGGUUGUGUGGCCUUGGGCAAAUCUCUACCUCCCGAGGCCUCAGUCCUACCAGAUGUGAAAUGGAGAUGCCAUUAGUAUCUCGUGGAGAAUUAUCUAUGGAAAGCACUUUGCAAUUUCGCAGAACAGUUGCUUUAAUUUGCACAAAAUGAGCGUUACACAUUCGAGCAGAAAGUCGAGACAAUUCUGUUAACACUUCGGUGCCCCUUUAACCUCUCAUGUUGAUUAGAAUUGAUUGCAAGAUGGUUCUCCGUCCAAGUAAAAAGAGCAG
This 1182-nucleotide long non-coding RNA is filed under the name Fukomys damarensis (Damara mole-rat). Its description in RNAcentral is "lncRNA (ENSFDAG00000025356.1)". Lineage: Eukaryota; Metazoa; Chordata; Mammalia; Rodentia; Bathyergidae. The record is from RNAcentral.